RNAcentral lists this unclassified non-coding RNA (335 nucleotides) under soil metagenome. RNAcentral's name for it is "partial contains 5.8S ribosomal RNA, internal transcribed spacer 2, and large subunit ribosomal RNA". The stretch from base 1 to 120 matches the Rfam family "5.8S ribosomal RNA", at positions 35 to 154 of the family's 154-position model. The record is from RNAcentral.
GAUGAAGAACGCAGCGAAAUGCGAUAAGUAGUGUGAAUUGCAGAAUUCAGUGAAUCAUCGAAUCUUUGAACGCACAUUGCGCCCCUUGGUAUUCCAUGGGGCAUGCCUGUUCGAGCGUCAUUUGUACCCUCAAGCUUUGCUUGGUGUUGGGUGUUUGUCCUCUCCUUUGCGUUUGGACUCGCCUUAAAGCAAUUGGCAGCCAGUGUUUUGGUAUUGAAGCGCAGCACAAUUUGCGAUUCUAACCGACUACACUUGCGUCCAUAAGCCUUUUUUAACUUUUGACCUCGGAUCAGGUAGGGAUACCCGCUGAACUUAAGCAUAUCAAUAAGCGGAGG